Molecule: long non-coding RNA, 1961 nt
Organism: Carcharodon carcharias (great white shark)
Lineage: Eukaryota; Metazoa; Chordata; Chondrichthyes; Lamniformes; Lamnidae
Exons: 2
Source: RefSeq, a predicted model, not a curated record
CAAGCAUCAUCGCGCGGACCAAUCCGAUGGAAGUCCAUGGUCGCUUAGGGCAGAGCACCUGAAGGAGGAGCCAUUGUUACCCUGCAGGAAAAGCGGCAGCCCGAUUUGUGCACAGCAAGAUCCCGCAAACAACACUGACACAAAUGAGCAGAUUCGUCUGUCCUUUCAGUCACGUUGGCUGACGGGCAAAAUGUUGGCCAGGGCAGGAGCUUUAGAAAUGGCGCCAUGGUAACUCGUACCUCAGCCUCAGAGCACGGGGUGGGGGGCGGUGGUGCUUGGCUUUAUUGCCCCUCCCGAAAGACGUCACGUGUGAUGGUGCCGCUUUCCCUCAGAACUGGCAUCCCAUGACGCUUGUUCAACUCCGGAGUGGGACUGGAAACACACAACCUUUCGAGUCAGCAGUGAGAGCGCUCCUCACUGAGCCAUGACUGGCACCGCUGGAACGUUACAGGGUUCCUCUCUGAUCCCAAGAAGAUGUCCUUGGCCCUGGCACCGGGCAGGCAACACAGCUUUUGGGACUGACGCUCCUAGCUGCAGAGAACCCCCUGACUAUAUAGACCCUGCUACAACUACGUUCCUAUUUACUCCCCCCACUUACUCCUCCCACCUGUACCACGGUGCUGUGGUCAGUUUGUUCAUCCAUCCUGUAGUCCCUUGCUCUCUGCAAGAACCUUGAACCUGUUGGACAAUUGCAAGGGUUGAGGCUCCUCCAUUGCUUGCCUUCUGGAUCCCUAUACCUGCAUACCUUACAGUCACACUCUCCGGUCCCUGACCACGGACCAACUCAGAAGUACCCAGCCCAAAGGAUGUCUGCCUCCUGGCACAAAGUGCCCAGGUAACUUUCCCCCUCUCUAUAUACAUCUCAGUGUCCAAAGCUAAGACCCCAGCUUAUCAACUCGGAGUUCAAGUUCAUUGAGCUGCAGACACUUCCUGCAAAUGUAAUUGCCGUGGAUCACAUUGGUGCCCACCAGUGCCCACAUGCUACAGCUGCAACACCUCACCUGCCCUGGCAUCUUUAUGGGGUUCUCUUUAACUAAUUAGGUUUCAAGUUUAGAAAUAUUACUCAACUGUUAUCUGCAGUUGGAGUUCUUGUGGUGCAAUAGGUAUUAUCUCUGCUUCUGAGCCGGGAGCUCUGGGUUCGAGUCCUACUCCGGGACUUCACAGCCAUGGAAAAUGUGUCCAUAACGUGGCCAAACACCAAUAUGGCAGAUGGUGAGAGUUGGGGGAGCCUCCUGGUCAGCCAUGCAUGAUAUGGGGUGGUGCUCCUCGGGCUGUAGUCUCUGCUGACAGGCUGGUGAGUACUUCCAGGAUAAAACUAGCUAUAAGCCUGUAUGCUUUGUCUGACUUAUAUGUGUCACUGAGACACAGGAAGAAAAGAAGUCAUAGGUAGUUAUACCAAGUAGCUUAAUCAGUUAAGCUAUAAAUUUAAUGCCAGACAUAGAUCUCCCUCAUACCAAUUUAAACUACUGCCUAUCUUUAGAGGGGUAAAAUCUUAAAAACUCACCAAUCACCUACCUACUCACCUAACAAAAAUUUUGAACAUUCACCAGCUUCUGGAGCCUGAAAAAGAUGUAAAAAUCAGCACCUCUUUCUCGCUCUGCACUGAAUCCCCACCUACUCCAAAUUCUCAAGUUUGCACUCUUACCCCAAAGCACUCGGGCUUCCUCACACUCUGCGCUCCCACACUCAUCUCGCGUAAGCACAGUACCCUGGCCAGCAUAAGCUUACAAUCAAUUUGUAUUAUCCGGGCCCUGUGUUUUGUAACAUCCCCUCUUAGAGUAAAGCAAUAGCUGAGAGAAUAAACCCCCAUAAAUAAUGUGAGGAAAACAGUCAGUAAUGCCUUUCCAUUUAGUGUUUGAGUUUAGUCUUAAAAAGUGAGUUAUGAACCCACAUUAUUGAACCUGUAAAUCAAAAUAACCAGAUUUACCGACUGUCCCCCAAAUAAAGAAAUUACCAGACAA